AGAUUUGGAUCUACCACCCCGGACACACCUGGUCUCAUCUGAUCUCAGAUCAGGGUCGGGCCUGGUUGGUACUCGGAUGGGAGAACUUCUGGGAAUACCAGGUGCUGGAGGCUU
This 114-nucleotide ribosomal RNA is filed under the name Propithecus coquereli (Coquerel's sifaka). The record is from RNAcentral. Lineage: Eukaryota; Metazoa; Chordata; Mammalia; Primates; Indriidae.